Molecule: long non-coding RNA, 446 nt
Filed under: Fukomys damarensis (Damara mole-rat)
Lineage: Eukaryota; Metazoa; Chordata; Mammalia; Rodentia; Bathyergidae
Description: lncRNA (ENSFDAG00000024224.1)
Source: RNAcentral
UUUUGUUUUGUUUGUUUGUUUUUUUUUUUUUUGGUACCAGGAUCAAACUCAGAACCAUGUACUUGAGAGGCAGUUGUGGUGCUACUGAGCUAAAUCCCGGUCCUUGUUUUGUUUUGUUUUGUUUUUUUUCAGACAGAGUCUCAGGCUGUGCUUGGACUCACUAUGUAGCCCAGACCGGCCUCCUGAGUAGCUGGGACUACAGGCAUGUGCUACCACUCUCAGCUUACCACACGUAUGGGAAGGAAAUGAGAAGGAUCUCACAUGAAUGAGAUUUUCAAAGAUUAGCCAGGCCUGGCAUGCCUGUAAUCCCAACAAAGUUAGGAUGGGGGCCCAGAAGGUCCAAUCCAGAAGGCUGAGGCAGGAGGACUGCCAUAAAUUCAAGGCCAGCCUGGACUACAUAGCAAGACUGUCUCAAAAAACCAAAAUAAUAAACAAAUGAAUAAACA